This 255-nucleotide ribosomal RNA is filed under the name uncultured bacterium. RNAcentral's name for it is "partial 16S ribosomal RNA". It matches the Rfam family "Bacterial small subunit ribosomal RNA", at positions 524 to 776 of the family's 1533-position model. The record is from RNAcentral.
UACAGAGGGUGCGAGCGUUAAUCGGAAUUACUGGGCGUAAAGGGCGCGUGUAGGCUGUUCGGAAAGUCGGGUGUGCAAGCCCUGGGCUCAACCUAGGAAGUGCACUCGAAACUCCCGAACUGGAGUCCCGGAGAGGAAGGUGGAAUUCUCGGUGUAGAGGUGAAAUUCGUAGAUAUCGAGAGGAACAUCGGUGGCGAAGGCGGCCUUCUGGACGGUGACUGACGCUGAGACGCGAAAGCGUGGGGAGCAAACAGG